UAAAAGUUGUCACAAGUUGUAACAAGAAACAGAAAUCAGUUUGUUGCUUAGAUCGAUAUAUAAGUUGGAAGGAGCUAUGUAUGCAUAUAUCUGUAUGUGCUACACUGGAGGUUUCUGCGGGCGCGUCUCCGCCGGCCCGAGAUGGUCGGGAAACCUCUGAACCACCUCCCGUGAUAGGGAUCGGGGCCUGGAAUCAACCCCGUGAAGGAGGAAUUCCCGGAGAUCAGAAGAGCACAAGUCUG
Long non-coding RNA from Octopus sinensis (East Asian common octopus), 242 nucleotides. RefSeq lists it as uncharacterized. NCBI's taxonomy places the organism in Eukaryota, Metazoa, Mollusca, Cephalopoda, Octopoda, Octopodidae. The transcript is spliced from 4 exons. The record is from RefSeq and is a predicted model, not a curated record.